Molecule: RNA transcript, 1107 nt
Organism: Pygocentrus nattereri (red-bellied piranha)
Lineage: Eukaryota; Metazoa; Chordata; Actinopteri; Characiformes; Serrasalmidae
Gene name: microfibril-associated glycoprotein 4-like
Exons: 7
Source: RefSeq, a predicted model, not a curated record
AGGGGUUUGAUGCAGGGUUUAAAAGCAAUGCACGGUGGAACAACUGAGACAAACAAUUUGUGUAAGACAAACUUUAGCGGUGCUGGUCUAGCCUCUGCUUCAGAGUCAAGCUGUUAAGUUUUUGUUUGCUGGAAGAGCUUCUGGAAAUAACAAUGACCCUCAGAGUGUUUCUGGCUCUAUUGCUCCCCCUGCUGGUUGGGAGCAGCUCAGCUUCUCAGGAACUGUUCCCGACAGACUGCUCUGACAUCUACGCUAACGGACAAACCCAGAGUGGAGUUUACACCAUCUAUCCUGCAGGUGGCACACCUGUACAGGUGCAAUGUGACAUGGGCUGUGAUGGACAAACAAAGGAUGGAAACUGGACGGUGUUUCAGAGGAGAAUGGAUGGCAGUGUGAACUUCUACAGACCAUGGGAGCAGUACAAGAACGGAUUUGGGAACAAAAGUGGAGAAUACUGGCUGGGACUGGAGAGCCUCUACCAGCUCACCAGCAAGAGAAAUUAUGAGCUGAGAGUGGACCUGGAGGACUUUGAGGGAGUGACAGCUUAUGCCCAGUACUCUACUUUCUCUGUGGACUCCGAAGUCAAUGGCUACAAACUCCGUGUUGGUGGAUUCAUCAACAGAGGAGCAGGCGACUCACUGGGAUUACACAAUGGACAGAAGUUCUCCACCUUUGACAAAGACCAGGACUCCAACUAUAUAAACUGUGCUAAAACCUACCUCGGAGCAUUCUGGUACAAUACUUGCCACCAGGCUAACCCCAAUGGUAUCUAUCUGUGGGGAAAGGAUGGCACCCAUUUCGCUAUUGGAAAUGUGUGGUACACCUGGAAAGGCUAUGAUUACGGUCCCAAGUCCAUCAGUAUGAAGAUCAGGCCUGUGGCCUAGAACCAUAUAAUGGGUUCCUUUUGCUUAAAAUAAAAGGAGCAGAAUCUGACAAGGCCUGUUUUCUUUUCUCUUUUUCUUUUAGAACUAGACAGAGUUGAAAACCAGAAAGAUUGCCGUUCUGCUGUUUAAACCUGUACCACUGUCAAAUACCCAUUUCACCCCGCCUGUAUCACAGACUGCUAUGACAUCUGUGGGACUCGCCUUCAAUAGCGAGGACACUGUC